GCCACUUACCUUCCUGUGGGGAAGGGGAAGGGGAAGGGAAGGGAGGAAGGAAGGAAGGAAGGAAGGAAGGAAGGAAGGAAGGAAGGAAGAUGCUCCUUGCUAGAUUCCCACAAAGAAACUCAAUGGGGAAGCCAGCAGGAAAUUAGAAGUCAUUCCUCUCCCACAGCUUUUUUCCACCUUUGGUCAUUCUGUUUUUCUGUUUAGAGUUGGAUGCUGGUGUUCAAGGAUAUGUGUUUCAACCUAUUUUGUACAACCUGAUCUUCAUUACAAGCAGUUUUAAAGUAACAACAUGGCUUAAUACAAUAAAGAGUCAAAUUGCA
Pantherophis guttatus is the source of this 320-nucleotide long non-coding RNA. RefSeq lists it as uncharacterized. The record is from RefSeq and is a predicted model, not a curated record. Lineage: Eukaryota; Metazoa; Chordata; Lepidosauria; Squamata; Colubridae.